UACGAAGGUGGCAAGCGUUGUUCGGAUUUACUGGGCGUACAGGGCGCGUAGGCGGUUGGAUAAGCCCUCCGUGGAAUCUCCAGGCUUAACCUGGAAAGUGCAGAGGGGACUGUUCAGCUAGAGGAUGGGAGAGGAGCGCGGAAUUCCCGGUGUAGCGGUGAAAUGCGUAGAGAUCGGGAGGAAGGCCGGUGGCGAAGGCGGCGCUCUGGAACAUUUCUGACGCUGAGGCUCGAAAGCGUGGGGAGCAAACAGG
This 253-nucleotide ribosomal RNA is filed under the name uncultured bacterium. RNAcentral's name for it is "partial 16S ribosomal RNA". It matches the Rfam family "Bacterial small subunit ribosomal RNA", at positions 524 to 776 of the family's 1533-position model. The record is from RNAcentral.